GACGAACGCUGGCGGCGUGCUUAACACAUGCAAGUCGUACGGUAAGGCCCUUUCGGGGGUACACGAGUGGCGAACGGGUGAGUAACACGUGAGUAACCUGCCCACAACUUUGGGAUAACGCUAGGAAACUGGUGCUAAUACUGGAUAUGUGCUCCUGCUGCAUGGUGGGGGUUGGAAAGCUCCGGCGGUUGUGGAUGGACUCGCGGCCUAUCAGCUUGUUGGUGGGGUAGUGGCCUACCAAGGCGGCGACGGGUAGCCGGCCUGAGAGGGUGACCGGCCACAUUGGGACUGAGAUACGGCCCAGACUCCUACGGGAGGCAGCAGUGGGGAAUAUUGCACAAUGGGCGCAAGCCUGAUGCAGCAACGCCGCGUGCGGGAUGACGGCCUUCGGGUUGUAAACCGCUUUCAGCAGGGACGAAGCUUUCUGUGACGGUACCUGCAGAAGAAGCACCGGCUAACUACGUG
This 465-nucleotide ribosomal RNA is filed under the name uncultured bacterium. RNAcentral describes it as "partial 16S ribosomal RNA". It matches the Rfam family "Bacterial small subunit ribosomal RNA", at positions 28 to 507 of the family's 1533-position model. The record is from RNAcentral.